Molecule: unclassified non-coding RNA, 426 nt
Filed under: Hevea brasiliensis (rubber tree)
Lineage: Eukaryota; Viridiplantae; Streptophyta; Magnoliopsida; Malpighiales; Euphorbiaceae
Source: RNAcentral
GUUUCUUCAAUGAGCUUACAUGAGGGAAUCGAUGAUAUCACUUGAAGAAUUGGGCAUACUGAAUCCUGCAAUAAAGAUCAAUAGUUAGUAUCACAAUCACGAUCCAAAGACUUUACCAAAGUGUCUUCUUCCUCGUCCACUAAACUUGGCAUAAUAGAAAAAGUUCUUGAACCUUCUUCCAAUAGGAGAACUCCAUCCCUCUGAGAGGCACUCCAGAAGUAUUUUGCAGCACUCCUGAUGAAGAAGUGUCACCCCAAACUCAUCGGCUAGUAAAAGUAGCUGAAGUAACAAGGUAUUGAUUCCUGCAGUAGCUUCUUUAUUAAGUUCUCCACUGUACAUGAAUUCUAGCAUAAUCUUGAAUGCCUCAAGAGGAACAUCUUUUAAGCAGACCACUGAAGAAACACUCUCCCUCAUUCCAUUUGUAAA